This 433-nucleotide ribosomal RNA is filed under the name uncultured bacterium. RNAcentral's name for it is "partial 16S ribosomal RNA". It matches the Rfam family "Bacterial small subunit ribosomal RNA", at positions 29 to 507 of the family's 1533-position model. The record is from RNAcentral.
AACGAACGCUGGCGGCAUGCCUAACACAUGCAAGUCGAACGAGACCUUCGGGUCUAGUGGCGCACGGGUGCGUAACGCGUGGGAACCUGCCCUUAGGUUCGGAAUAACUCCCCGAAAGGGGUGCUAAUACCGGAUAAUGUCUUCGGACCAAAGAUUUAUCGCCUUUGGAUGGGCCCGCGUUGGAUUAGCUAGUUGGUAGGGUAAAAGCCUACCAAGGCGACGAUCCAUAGCUGGUCUGAGAGGAUGAUCAGCCACACUGGGACUGAGACACGGCCCAGACUCCUACGGGAGGCAGCAGUGGGGAAUAUUGGAAAAUGGGAGAAAGCCUGAUCCAGCAAUGCCGCGUGAGUGAUGAAGGCCUUAGGGUUGUAAAGCUCUUUUACCCGGGAUGAUAAUGACAGUACCGGGAGAAUAAGCGCCGGCUAACUCCGUG